Molecule: ribosomal RNA, 492 nt
Filed under: uncultured bacterium
Lineage: Bacteria
Description: partial 16S ribosomal RNA
Rfam family: Bacterial small subunit ribosomal RNA
Source: RNAcentral
AGUGAACGCUGGCGGUAGGCCUAACACAUGCAAGUCGAACGGCAGCACAGUAAGAGCUUGCUCUUACGGGUGGCGAGUGGCGGACGGGUGAGGAAUACAUCGGAAUCUACUUUUUCGUGGGGGAUAACGUAGGGAAACUUACGCUAAUACCGCAUACGACCUACGGGUGAAAGCAGGGGAUCUUCGGACCUUGCGCGAUUGAAUGAGCCGAUGUCGGAUUAGCUAGUUGGCGGGGUAAAGGCCCACCAAGGCGACGAUCCGUAGCUGGUCUGAGAGGAUGAUCAGCCACACUGGAACUGAGACACGGUCCAGACUCCUACGGGAGGCAGCAGUGGGGAAUAUUGGACAAUGGGCGAAAGCCUGAUCCAGCAAUACCGCGUGGGUGAAGAAGGCCUUCGGGUUGUAAAGCUCUUUUGUUGGGAAAGAAAAGCAGCAGGUUAAUACCACGCUGUUCUGACGGUACCCAAAGAAUAAGCACCGGCUAACUUCGUG